GACGAACGCUGGCGGCGUGCUUAACACAUGCAAGUCGAACGGUGAAGCGCCUUCCUUUUUGGUGGGCGUGGAUGAGUGGCGAACGGGUGAGUAACACGUGAGUAACCUGCCCCCUUCUCCUGGAAAACCGCAUGAAAGUGUGGCUAAUACGGGUUAUUCUGGGUCUGUCGCAUGAUGGGUCUGGGAAAGAUAUUGUUUCGGUGGGGGAUGGGCUCGCGGCCUAUCAGCUUGUUGGUGAGGUGAUGGCCUACCAAGGCGGUGACGGGUAGCCGGCCUGAGAGGGUGGACAGUCACACUGGGACUGAGACACGGCCCAGACGCCUACGGGAGGCAGCAGUGGGGAAUAUGGCACAAUGGGCGCAAGCCUGUUGCAGCGGCGCCGCGUGAGGGAUGGAGGCCUUCGGGUUGUGAACCUCUUUCGCCAGUGAAGCAGGCCUGCCUCGUUUGUGGGUGGGUUGACGGUAGCUGGAUAAGAAGCGCCGGCUAACUACGUG
This 494-nucleotide ribosomal RNA is filed under the name uncultured bacterium. RNAcentral's name for it is "partial 16S ribosomal RNA". It matches the Rfam family "Bacterial small subunit ribosomal RNA", at positions 28 to 507 of the family's 1533-position model. The record is from RNAcentral.